This 278-nucleotide ribosomal RNA is filed under the name Marinobacter sp. AAO-09. Its description in RNAcentral is "partial 16S ribosomal RNA". It matches the Rfam family "Bacterial small subunit ribosomal RNA", at positions 292 to 562 of the family's 1533-position model. The record is from RNAcentral. Lineage: Bacteria; Pseudomonadati; Pseudomonadota; Gammaproteobacteria; Pseudomonadales; Marinobacteraceae. RNAcentral also lists the same sequence under 1 other name.
UUGAGAGGAUGAUCAGCCACAUCGGGACUGAGACACGGCCCGAACUCCUACGGGAGGCAGCAGUGGGGAAUAUUGGACAAUGGGGGCAACCCUGAUCCAGCCAUGCCGCGUGUGUGAAGAAGGCUUUCGGGUUGUAAAGCACUUUCAGCGAGGAGGAAGGCUCUAAAGCUAAUACCUUUAGGGAUUGACGUUACUCGCAGAAGAAGCACCGGCUAACUCCGUGCCAGCAGCCGCGGUAAUACGGAGGGUGCAAGCGUUAAUCGGAAUUACUGGGCGUA